This 253-nucleotide ribosomal RNA is filed under the name uncultured bacterium. RNAcentral describes it as "partial 16S ribosomal RNA". It matches the Rfam family "Bacterial small subunit ribosomal RNA", at positions 524 to 776 of the family's 1533-position model. The record is from RNAcentral.
UACGUAGGUGACAAGCGUUGUCCGGAUUUACUGGGCGUAAAGAGCGCGCAGGCGGUCGAUCAAGUCGAGUGUGAAAGCCCCCGGCUCAACUGGGGAGGGUCAUUCGAUACUGAUCGACUCGAAGGCAGGAGAGGGUAGUGGAAUUCCCGGUGUAGUGGUGAAAUGCGUAGAGAUCAGGAAGAACACCAGUGGCGAAGGCGCUCUGCUAGGCCGUAACUGACACUGAGGGACGAAAGCUAGGGGAGCGAAUGGG